AAAUGAAUUGACGGGGGCCCGCACAAGCGGUGGAGCAUGUGGUUUAAUUCGAUGCAACGCGAAGAACCUUACCUGGUCUUGACAUCCACGGAAGUUUUCAGAGAUGAGAAUGUGCCUUCGGGAACCGUGAGACAGGUGCUGCAUGGCUGUCGUCAGCUCGUGUUGUGAAAUGUUGGGUUAAGUCCCGCAACGAGCGCAACCCUUAUCCUUUGUUGCCAGCGGUCCGGCCGGGAACUCAAAGGAGACUGCCAGUGAUAAACUGGAGGAAGGUGGGGAUGACGUCAAGUCAUCAUGGCCCUUACGACCAGGGCUACACACGUGCUACAAUGGCGCAUACAAAGAGAAGCGACCUCGCGAGAGCAAGCGGACCUCAUAAAGUGCGUCGUAGUCCGGAUUGGAGUCUGCAACUCGACUCCAUGAAGUCGGAAUCGCUAGUAAUCGUGGAUCAGAAUGCCACGGUGAAUACGUUCCCGGGCCUUGUACACACCGCCCGUCACACCAUGGGAGUGGGUUGCAAAAGAAGUAGGUAGCUUAACCUUCGGGAGGGCGCUUACCACUUUGUGAUUCAUGACUGGGGUGAAGUCGUAACAAGGUAACCGUAGGGGAACCUGCGGUUGGAUCACCUCCUUACCUUAAAGAA
RNAcentral lists this ribosomal RNA (640 nucleotides) under Salmonella enterica. RNAcentral describes it as "bacterial SSU rRNA". It matches the Rfam family "Bacterial small subunit ribosomal RNA", at positions 903 to 1533 of the family's 1533-position model. The record is from RNAcentral. Lineage: Bacteria; Pseudomonadati; Pseudomonadota; Gammaproteobacteria; Enterobacterales; Enterobacteriaceae.